CGGAGAAAUAUAAUAAACGUCACCUCAACACCGAGACAGACCGGAAUGAACUAAUCGUUAGUCAGUGCAGCUACAAGGAAUGACUGAAGCAAACCCCUUGAUUAUACAUGGUGGAUAAAUCGAUCCAUUAAUUUUGUGUUGUGGUUUUUGUUUUUGUUUUAUGAACUGUUCAAUGAAAGCGUCAAUCGAUUUAUAUAUAUAUAAAUAUAGUAAUAAAUAAU
This is a long non-coding RNA of Drosophila willistoni, 221 nucleotides long. RefSeq lists it as uncharacterized. Lineage: Eukaryota; Metazoa; Arthropoda; Insecta; Diptera; Drosophilidae. The record is from RefSeq and is a predicted model, not a curated record. The transcript is spliced from 2 exons.